UUUUGUAGACAUUGGGGGGUCGUGAAGACUCUAUCAGUUAGUAUUUGUUCUCGAAAGGGCUUUGAUUAAUAUUGAAGAAUCGGACAUAGUACGCUAAGGUUGUAUGUCUAAAGGGAAACAGCCCAGAACAAGUGUUAAUAAGGUUCCAAAAUUAUUAUUAAGUGAAAUAAAGGUAGUUUAUGUCUUAAACGUCCAGGAAAUAGGCUUAGAAGCGGCCAUUUUUUAAAGAUCUCGUAACAGAGCACUGGUUUAUUCUAAUUUAGAUCUAAUUUAUAUCUAAGUUAGAUCGGCAAAAGCACCGACGAUUCCACGGAUCUAAAUAAUAUACCGAAACCUUGUCCAUGUAUAUUUAUAUAUACUUAAUAUCAGAUAAUAGUUGUGUUAUAUUUAUAAGUUAUAUAUUAUAUAAUGGGGUAGCGGAACAUUGGGCAAACCAUACCUUUUUUUUAUAAAAAAUUUUAGGUACCCCAAGUGAGAAUGCUGACAUGAGUAACGAUAAAGGGAUUAUCCCUCGCCUAAAGCUUAUGGAAUUUAGUUAAAGUAACGGCCUCUAAGUUUAUUAAUAAAAAAUUAAAAAACACUACUUUAGUGUAUUUUGAUUACCCUAAGGGACUAAACGAUGAGCAAAGCUAUAAAAAUACAAAUAAAUAACAUUUCUAAACAGUUUGAGGGAAGUGCUAAAAAAUUACGUUAGAUUUAUAAAAUUUUUGGGUAACCUAAGAAAAUUGUGUUAAAUUUAGAAAAUUUUUUAGAUAAAUACCGAAUAAUUGUGUUAAAGUGAGAAAUGUUCUGGAAAAUAGUAUUUAAUACAAAGUUUAUUUAUAUGAGUAGUUAGAAGAAAAUAUCUAGAUUUUAAAUAUACCGUACCUAAAAACUACCACAAGUAAGCAAGUAGAG
RNAcentral lists this ribosomal RNA (897 nucleotides) under Polycauliona polycarpa. Its description in RNAcentral is "partial 23S ribosomal RNA". The stretch from base 1 to 485 matches the Rfam family "Bacterial large subunit ribosomal RNA", at positions 908 to 1301 of the family's 2925-position model. Lineage: Eukaryota; Fungi; Ascomycota; Lecanoromycetes; Teloschistales; Teloschistaceae. The record is from RNAcentral.